This is a long non-coding RNA of Bombus pascuorum, 4264 nucleotides long. RefSeq lists it as uncharacterized. Lineage: Eukaryota; Metazoa; Arthropoda; Insecta; Hymenoptera; Apidae. The record is from RefSeq and is a predicted model, not a curated record. The transcript is spliced from 3 exons.
GCGAACAUUCUCUGUAUUUAUUAAUUAUUUUAAAUACAUUUUACAGUUUUCAAUAUCAAGAUAUCUCGUCAUUUAAACCACACGAACAACCAUCCUCUACAAAUACAAUAAAAUCGAUAGGGAGCACUUUCACAUAUUUAUAGCAAAGGGACAUUAACAAAAAUGUUAACCUUAUAGCUUUAGCUAAAGGCUACAAGGAACAUAAAUAGAAAUCUAUUUAUUAGUUCCUUUGAUCCUAGACCCUGUAACCCAAAACAUAAUGUAUAUUCAAGCGUACAAUAAUAAGGACCUCUUCGUAUUUAGAAUAUUUUUGUUUCAUUAAAUUCUAUUUCUUGAGUAAUAGCGGUCUCCAGGUCACGGAUAUACGUAAAUAAAGAUGUAGAAUUUUUCUUGAAGUAACUACUUCAACAAUUACAUUAAAAAUAGACUGAUGUUUGAUAAGAAUUUAUAAAAUUAAACGUUUCGUGUGAAAUUAGGUCGAAAAGAUCAGAUGGAAAUAAGAAAAUUCAACAAAGUAAAUAGAACAUAAUUUUACGUGGAGAGAGUAAAUUAAUUAAACAGUUUACCUAUUGAAACAAGAUUUUAUUUUGUUUCAGCGAAAUUUUAUGUAUAAUCGAAUAAGAUUAGGUGAAGGUGAGAAAAUUAAACUAAACUGAGUUAGUUUAAAUCAACAAAGGAAGAACGUAGUGUUGUACCGAAUAAGUUAACCAAUCGAGCCUAACAAAUCAGAUUCGGUAAAAAGACGUAAAAAUAAUUUAAGUUGCAACCACUUGUUUUGCUUAUAUUAAUCACAUACAGUUUUGUUAUAUCUUACAGCAUAUUUAAUUAAGUUUAAAACAAGGUCCUUUUAUUUAGUUCGCGCACAGCUAUUAAUUUGCAAAAUCGAAAUAAUUAAUUCUGCUCAGAUUGUCAUAAAUUUAAAUUCUCUAUACUCGAGAUUUUGCAUCUCCCUCCCUUCCAGCUUCGUUGUUUUCUAGCUGGUAUCUCGUCCGAAGUAAUGAAAAUAAUUGGUCACAUUUAUGUACCUAGAUACGUAAAAAGAAGUCUUCCUCGCGGAAAUAAAUGGAGCGCACUAUAUCUCGAUCAAGCGUUCUCAAAUGAGUUUAUUGCGGGCCGAACGCGCCAUCGCAGCAUUUCAGAUUUUCCUGGAUAUACAACUGGUUUACGUAUGAUUCAUGCAACAAUGUCGUCUCAAAAACGAGCAAACGCAUUUAUUUUGUUUAUGUCGAGGAUAAUUACUACAAUUAUCUAACAUCUACGAUAAUUCAUAAUGUUCACGAUAAAUUGAACAGAUUUAUUAUCGUUUCUAUCAUUUUUUUUAUCAAACAUUCCUCCGUUAUGUAAGCGAAAACAAAAAAUAAAAAAAAACAUACAUUCCUCCUAACUCGUGAUCGAUGGAACGAGAUUGAAAAAGUUCCUUUGGAGUUGCUGAAAACAAAGAUGUUUACUACAGUAGUAUAGGCGAUUGAAAGCUCCUAUUUCAUUCAGUUCACGCGUUCACACGGAUGUGUACUUGGAUUGCAACUUUUACAAUACAUACGUGAUAUACGUGACGUAGGAUGUAUAUUAAAAGACACAAAAUCACGAAAUAUUGCGCGAUAAUUCAUAAGCACAUACGCGUAGGUUCUGCAAUAAUAUUAAAUCGAUAAAGUUUAUGUGCGAGGCGAAAAAGAAGUUGCCAUAUAGACGACUGCGUUCCUGCUAACUGUAUCGACAACUGGCGAUCCGCUUUGACGCACCGAUCUCCUCUCACGAUCAGCCAACGUAUGCGGCGCAAAGCGCUAGAAAAUUACCCAUCGUAGCGAAAUCGAUGGGCAGCUUUCCUAGGAACGCGACACGCCUCCGGCAACCGGGCGUGAAGAGUGGGAACGUGCAUUAUUACGACAAUAGGAUGCGCGCACGCAUGUCCACGCAACGUCGCGUCGCCUCUGCUUCCAGAGGAACGUGAGCGUGCAAACACGUGAUCGCGUUAUGGUCCGUUCAUACUACUGCGAUAAACGGUAGAAUACAAUUGAAAUUUAAAAAGAGUUGCAUUUGAAGAGUCAAGAUAAACAGCAUCCAUGCGAAUCGAUUACGACAACUACUAGGUUCAGUCGAUAGGAACUCGAGCUUCGUUUCAAUCAAUGAAAUUAGGCGGAGUUUAAAGAUUUUAACAUCUCAAUUUCGACACUUUAUGUUAAAUGAUCUGAUCACUGUUUGCUAUCUAUAUGUACUUACGUCUCAUCGUUUAGCAAAAUGAUGAGUAUUGGAUCCUCGUAUUUUGGCAUCGUUUAUUUCAAUAUCGUGACGCGGAAUCGACGAUGUCCUGUUGAACAUGAAUCCUUAAUAGACGAUGAAGAGACGGCGAUGGAUUUGCAGCGCACGACUGUCGCAACGAUGUAAACGGGGCUUUACGCGUUUCUUGGCGCGGCAGUGCUCUGUGCUUAGGGACACAACCGCGGCGAGGAACCGUGGCGGCAGCUCAGGGAUGCCGCGUGCAUUGCCAUUAACUUGCCAUUGUUCCGCAACUGUGCAACGGUUCAUCCAUAAUCUUACGUGCUAUCCGCGAAUACAGUUAUGGCCCCGGGGACACAUGCAGUCGCUGCAGUCGCCGUGGCGGACCAUUGAUCAUGGAGAUGAUCUCCUCCUACGUGCCAGGACAGGUCGUGCGACCGAUACGUGCACGAUUCGGCGGAAGAUAGACAGGUGUUCGCGAAAAAGUCACGAUUCCGGGCUUGCGCAGCAUUCGGCCACGUGUGCAACGGAACGCUCUCGCGGUUUCCGCAUCGCUCGCGCUUCCUCCUAAGGAUAAUGUUCGCAUAUCGUGAUCAAGAUCGAGAGCUCAACAGCCGACGCUGCCCUGCCUCCUUCCAUCCGCGGAUGCUCCGACUGGAUCGUUGCCAUGCUCGCGAUUCGACCGUAUCCUUGGACCUCACGUUCUCAUACGUAAAGUGGAAGGUAUGGUUAUUUGAGUUACAAGGUUAUUCGAGACAGGCUAAGUAGUUUGGCUGGUCAUUUGCAAUUCACCAAAUUCGAUUAUGAAUCAUUUUUACGCGAUCUACGUAUACGCACAUGUAUAUAUGUAUUGAGCGUAGAAAUGAAUUCCUUUCGAUUUUUGUGCAAAGUGGGAGUUUUACUGUCGGAAAGAACUCAUUUAUACAACUAUUGUAUCGUGUACAUUGAUGGCUCAACCGGCGUUCGUAAUUUUCUACGAAAAUAUAACUUGUACUCGUCAGAAGAAAAGGAGUUUGUUGAGAUAAUGUUGGUAAUGUAAUUACAGAUCAUUUCCAAAGAUCCACUGGUUAUGAAUACUUCUUGUCUCAUUCACAAUCUCAAACCUUUUCUCAAUUUCUAAUGUUCUCUGUACAGUGGUGAAAGUAUGAUUGAGGAAAUACUCGCGUAAAUUCAAUUAAUUGUAUCAUUUCUAUUUUUUCUUUUGUAUGUACAACGUAAGCUUAGGCAAACUAUUAAAUCUAAAAAUCUAAUUCGUGGCGUUAUAAAUACAGAAUGACUUCCAAACUUUUGUUUCAAGAAAUAAUUACAAACUAAAUUAAUUAGAAUUUGCUAUGACUGACUUACUCCAUUUCUAUGCUCUCUGCUACGGUAUAAAACAAUUAUAUAGCAGCAAUUAUAUUUCUCUGUGGUACCGACUGAACCGAAAUACUUGAAUAUUCAUUAAAAUCUAAGAUAGUCAUCGCCAUAUAACCAAGUAAUUACCUAACAUUACGCGAACAGUUUAUUUCAGCCGUUUUAAUACAAUUCCGAUUCUUCAAGGAACUAAAGGAAAGUCAGAUACACACUCAGUUUCAUAAUUCCUGCGCUAUUCAACAGUUGUCCCAUUCAUACUUCUUACAUCACUUCAAUUCUUCGCUUUCUUCGAAACGCAUUACCAUUCAACCCCGGUUAAAUGGCUAGGAAACGCUGCGAGCAUCGGAAUGUCAUUAAUCCUUUUGUCACAUCCACUUCCGGAAAUCAUCGGUCCUCUACCAAGGCAACGUACUCGAUUACCUAAUACCGUCACGAUUUUUCUUGGACCGAAGAGGGAUGCGAGCACGACCAAGGACACUCUGCUCUUCCGUCGGAUAAUUCCAAUUCCGCGCCGGACAUUGACGAAUCAUCGAUUCGCGCGGGCAUCAUUAACCAACCGGCUACCUAUGUGCGUGCAACGUUGCCAAGCUCUGAAGAAGAAGGUUAUUGGCCAGCACAGUCUUUUCUCUACCCUUUUAUUUCCUUACUCGUGUUUUUGCCCAUUAAUUCCGUUUGUUUUCGUUAUUAAAAGUUUAUU